AAAAGUUUCCUCAACCUUUCACUUCUCUUUGAUACCACCUAGAUACAUAGAAUCUCGUAUUUCUAUAAUCUUGUGAUAUACAUCGUACUUUUUUUU
RNAcentral lists this small RNA (96 nucleotides) under Arabidopsis thaliana (thale cress). Its description in RNAcentral is "ATSL029070". The record is from RNAcentral. Lineage: Eukaryota; Viridiplantae; Streptophyta; Magnoliopsida; Brassicales; Brassicaceae.